This 314-nucleotide long non-coding RNA is filed under the name Homo sapiens (human). RNAcentral describes it as "non-protein coding lnc-PITPNC1-7:1". The record is from RNAcentral. Lineage: Eukaryota; Metazoa; Chordata; Mammalia; Primates; Hominidae.
AUGGUGAACGUUGCUAAAACCCGCCGGACUUUCUGUAAGAAGUGUGGCAAGCACCAACCCCACAAAACGACACAGUACAAGGGCAAGGAUUCUCUGUAUGCCCAGGGAAAGCAGCGUUAUGACAUGAAACAGAGUGGCUAUGGUGGGCAAACUAAGCCGAUCUUCCGGAAGAAGGCUAAAACUACAAAGACGACUGUGCUAAGACUUGAGUGCGUUGAGCCCAAACAGAUCUAAGAGAAUGCUGGCUAUUAAAAAGAUGCAAGCAUUUUGAACUGGAAGGAGAUAAGAGAAAGGGUCAAGUGAUCCAGUUCUAU